This 497-nucleotide ribosomal RNA is filed under the name uncultured bacterium. Its description in RNAcentral is "partial 16S ribosomal RNA". It matches the Rfam family "Bacterial small subunit ribosomal RNA", at positions 28 to 507 of the family's 1533-position model. The record is from RNAcentral.
GAUGAACGCUGGCGGCGUGCCUAAUACAUGCAAGUCGAGCGAACGGACGCGAAGCUUGCUUCUCUGAUGUUAGCGGCGGACGGGUGAGUAACACGUGGAUACCCUACCUAUCAGACUGGUAUAUCUUCGGGAAACCGGCGCUAAUCCCGGAUGAUAUUUUGCACCGCAUGGUUCAAUAGUGAAUGACGGUCUUGCUGUCACUUAUCGCUGGAUCUCAGCUGCAUUAGCUAGUUGGUAAGGUAACGGGUUACCAAGGCAACGAGGCAUAGCCGACCUGAUAGAGUGAUAGGCCACAUUAGAACGUGGACGCGGUCCAGGCGCCUGAGAGAGGCAGCAGAAGGGAAUCUGCCGCAAUGGGCGGAAGCCUGACGGAGCAACCGCGCGUGAGUGAUGAAGGUCUUCGGAGCGUAAAACUCGGUUAUGAGGGAAGAACAGAUGUGUAAUGAACUGUGCAGAUCGUGACGGUACCGAAUCAGAAAGCCACGGCUAACUACGUG